GGCGGAACUGGCAGACGCAGCGGACUUAAAAUCCGCGGCCCGCAAGGGCGUGUGGGUUCGACCCCCACC
This 69-nucleotide transfer RNA is filed under the name Phycisphaerales bacterium. RNAcentral describes it as "tRNA-Leu". It matches the Rfam family "tRNA", at positions 9 to 64 of the family's 71-position model. Rfam says of the family: Transfer RNA (tRNA) molecules are approximately 80 nucleotides in length. Their secondary structure includes four short double-helical elements and three loops (D, anti-codon, and T loops). Lineage: Bacteria; Pseudomonadati; Planctomycetota; Phycisphaerae; Phycisphaerales. The record is from RNAcentral.